This 255-nucleotide ribosomal RNA is filed under the name uncultured bacterium. RNAcentral's name for it is "partial 16S ribosomal RNA". It matches the Rfam family "Bacterial small subunit ribosomal RNA", at positions 15 to 263 of the family's 1533-position model. The record is from RNAcentral.
GAUCCUGGCUCAGAUUGAACGCUGGCGGCAGGCCUAACACAUGCAAGUCGAACGGUAACAGAAAGCAGCUUGCUGCUUUGCUGACGAGUGGCGGACGGGUGAGUAAUGUCUGGGAAACUGCCCGAUGGAGGGGGAUAACUACUGGAAACGGUAGCUAAUACCGCAUAACGUCGCAAGACCAAAGAGGGGGACCUUCGGGCCGUCUUGCCAUCGGAUGUGCCCACGAUGGGAGUUAGCUAGUAGGUGGGUAACGGG